This 238-nucleotide long non-coding RNA is filed under the name Manihot esculenta (cassava). Its description in RNAcentral is "long non-coding RNA (MESC_LNC010204)". The record is from RNAcentral. Lineage: Eukaryota; Viridiplantae; Streptophyta; Magnoliopsida; Malpighiales; Euphorbiaceae.
AGCCAAUGUAUGUAUAUUUGCAUGUUUUGGUUGAGCUAAAUGCAUGAUUGGAAGUUUUGGAGGCAAAUGUGCUUAAAGGAGCCAAGUUUCUGCCCUUUGGCAGAAACCAGGUUCGGCAGCCGAAGGAACUUUCGGCCGCCGAACAUGGCUGGGGAGGCAGGCCUUUCGGCUGCCGAAGUUGCCCCCGAAAAGAGACUUUCGUCUCUAUCUGGGACUUUCGGCCGCCGAAGGUGCCGCC